This 2370-nucleotide ribosomal RNA is filed under the name Triticum aestivum (bread wheat). Its description in RNAcentral is "partial small subunit ribosomal RNA". The record is from RNAcentral. Lineage: Eukaryota; Viridiplantae; Streptophyta; Magnoliopsida; Poales; Poaceae.
GGGGGCCUCCCGAUGGCGGCGGUGCAGCUGCGGUGUGGUUUGGCGACGAGAUUUCGUGUAAAAAUAUGUUCAUUACAGAUCUUGAACGAGGAUAAGCAAAUUAGUUCCUGAAGCUUCUCUAUCGGGAAGCGCAUGCCGUAAGAACAACUAUAGACGGCAUCACCGCCGUCGCUUAUGGAGCUCCACACCACUGCCCAGUUGUUCGAGAGCAUGUUCAAUCUUCUCGAUUCUAUACUAUGUGCAAAUGGUGAACUCUUUGCCAAACAAGAAGAUACGAGGAUCAGGCAUAUACGCCCCAUAAGGUAGCUAUAUAAAAAUUCAUGUGUUGUAGUGUGGAUUAUGGUCACGCUUUGUCUUGGACUGCAGAUAGCUAGGUUAAUAAAAUGGAUAUUCUGCAUAUUUUUUGAAUUUUUAGUAAGGGCUAGAUGAAUAAUGUAUGCACUAUGCAGUACUUCUGACUUGGGGCACUGAUUAAUUCUCCACAUGAAGGAACAUGGACAGAUGGUGGGCUCCAAGGCCAUGUCGAUGUUGUUGCGCUUGCAGCUUGAGAUCUACUUGGUCCAAAUGAAGAAUCGUCAUUUCAAAUGGUUAGUACAAUUUGCUCAAUGCCAUAAACCUGCACUGAUCUUCACUCAUGUCAUCUGACAGAAGUCUAUUGAAUUUCAAUAAAAUUUUGUUGUAUGUUAUCCAUGACGUAAGUGGAGAUAGGAAGGUCCAAAAAAUUUAAAAAUUGCGGCACAAGGGGGAUGGUCACUAAUUUUUCACUUGAUAAAAUGUUUGUGAAGUAUGGCAAAUUAUGACCUUAGCAAACCUUUUAUUUACAUAUAUUCAUAUAUAUUUUGAAUUUCAGAAACGUGCAUUGCACGUAUAUGGUUAGAUCUUAAUUUUCUUCAUUACUCAACAUAUUUGUACCCACUAGGAUUUCAUUUUUUUUUAUUAUUGAGUAUUAUACUAUUGUUAUUUGUUGUCCACCUUGAUCCUUCACUGCUAUUUUUCCUAGGCAACUUUGCAUGGAAUUAGGAUCACUUAAUAAGGUUCUGCUAUCUUUUUCAUAUUCGCUUGCUUUAUGCAUGAACCUAUCACCAAGAUUUGGAUCUCUUAUAUGCUGCAUCGAUGCUGUUGUAGAUUUGUUAGUGUUGAUUUGUAGUAAGAGGAAAUUUAAUGUUGUUCUCAUCAAUUUAUUUCAUAGCAUGUGUCACAAAUAAAUUUAUUACAGAUCUGGGAAUACCUUUUCUUUUUAGAUAAGUUUAGGCUUGAAUUGUCACAAGUAAAUGGGGGGCGUUGGGUAUAGUUUCAGGAAGCCAGAGCAUCAUAUUUAUUUUGAGCCACAUGGGGCGAAUUACAUCCAUGUAUUAAAAAACUAGGCGCCCGCUUAGGUAGAAAGUACAACUCUUGCUGUCCCGGGGCUUCAUAGUAGUGCUAGAAUUUAAUCAAUGAUCCAUGUACAUGUUGAUUGUUAUGAAACCAUGCGAUGGGAUCUUGAUCUUGACAAUGUCGAAAAAUCUGGUUCAUCAGAGACAAAAUCCCACCUUAAUUCCCCCCUUUGGAUCAUGAAAUAUUGGGGGUUAACACGAUGCUAUGUAAGAUGGGUUGAGAUCUACCAUACGGUAACUUUCUUUUAUUCAAAUAUUCUCUUUUGUUUUGUAGCCUUAAUGUUUUCUGUUGUGGGGUGACAAUGUCAAGGUCUAUGCUAACAAGCAAGAUUUUUUUAUAUGCAGUGAGUAUUGAACAGCGGACAAGUUGCUGCAUCCCUCUUGCAACCUUUACAAUUUAUGUUGGCAACUCUAAUAUAGUGGUUCUAAGACUGUUCAGUGAGAGAUGGAUUGGGUAUAUACCAAGAAGAACUACUCACAUGUUCUAAUUAUUGACUAACAAAUGUCCGCUGCUUUGCUACUGGUAUACGAGAGACCAGAAUCAUCUGAUAUAUAUAUUUGUGCACCAAAUUAUGUUAAGCACAAAGUCAAUGCUGGAGAUACUAAAAACGUACCCUGGUUGCAGUUAUUUAAACUGGUGGGUCUCUUCUCUUAUCAUGUGUAGCCUGUAUGUAUCAAAUGGCACAUGUUUUCCUGAAUGGUCGUGUUUGUUCAUGUUUUGAACAAAUCUGUCUGAUUUUUGCAGCAAGGCUUACAGUGAUCAUAUAUUUCCUACUACAUUGAUUUUAGCAGGAAAAUUCGAGGAAUCUAGAGGAGAUUCAGGGUCUUGGAUAGCACUGAAUACUACCGAAAAAUAGACAUAUUGCAUUCUUGAUCCUUUUUGCUUUUUUUCAUUUUCAUGCUAUUGAAGUACCGAAAAAUUGACUAGUGCUUUCUAUAUAUGUCAAAUUCACUUGUAAUUUCCUGAAGUUUUGUGAAAUAUUGAAGGAUAUCUUGG